GAUGAUGAUUGUUCCAAAGAUGUAAGAUCAAAACCUCAUUGUGUAUCUAUAGUUUAACAUUUCCUUUAUCCAUAUCUAUGAUCAUUCUUGUUAUUUUUAAGAAAGGUCUCUUUAAGAUCAAAGAGACUUCUUUUCAUUUUUAUAUAUCCACGACCACAAAGUAUGUAGAGAAUGUAAAUUUAUCAACUUUAACUACCAUCUCUUCAAUGAUUCCCAUUGGUAUUUCAAAAACUUCACUCAUUCUACUAUUUCUCUAUCUUUAUUUUAAAAAGAAAUUGUAUUAUAUAUAAACACAAAUUCUGGUCUAUUUUUCAUACUUGCAAUGUGAAGCACUAGUUGGUAUUUUAUUCUUACAUUAAUUUUUUUUUCUUUUACAUUAAUUCGUGAUUGGAUGAACUUGUCAGUUACAUUUUUCGUUUUUUUUCUUUUUAGGCAUAACCAAAUUUAUAAUGGAAGGCCAAAGAAUGUCCACUUUUAGCAGAUGAUCAUGACCACUAGAUUGAAUUACGAUAUUUGUUCUAUUGACAGUUUGGACUAUGGUGAUCUUUAGGGUAUGGAUAAAUUGAAAAGGGUAACAAGUAUAGGUAAAUUUCAGAUUUUCUUUGAUUACACACUUUGUUGGUUUCUUGAUGAUUUUUUAACUUUUUCUUCUUGUAGUGUGAUUGGAGUAGUUUUGGGUCAUUCUACUAUUCGUCGUCAUUCUACUAGAUCCAAAUGAUAUGUUAAUAUAGGUGACACAUCUACAGAGGAAAUACUUCAAGAUAAAAGCACUAGCUCUUCUAAAGAUAAGGGAAAAGCUAUACUAAAGUCUGUGCAAGAGGAGUCAAGAUAAACUCAAACUAGGAAGUUACUCGUAGAAGAGUGGCUCUUGAUAAAAAUGAUGAAGCAAAGCAUGUAAACGACGACUCUACUUUUGAGGUAUACUAAUGGAAACUGCUUUAGAAAUCAGUUAUGCAUUAGAACUCAAAUAAUUUCUGGUAGUUAUGUAUUUUUGUUUAUGAUACAACUAGUGUAUUGGUGUAUUUGUAUGUUAUUGGAGACUUAUCUUGGGUGAAGGCCUUUGGUUUGUACCAUUUCUUCCAUUUAAACUAACUUUUAUAUCUUCAACUAACUUAAACAAUAUAAUUGCUUAAAAAUUAUAUUUUAUCAAAAAAUAAUCCUAGCCGUGGAGUUUAUGAAACCAAAUUUCUUUAUCAUUGAUUAAAAUUGUAUUAGAAAUUAUAUUGAGAUACAUUAAUAAUAUAUUUAAUAAAAGAAAGGUUACUUUCAAUCUUUAAUUAAGGUCAUGAAGAUGUUGCAUAAUAACAUACCCAACUUUAUGUAAAUGCAGUGGUCAAUAAGAAUCAAACCUAAAUCUUUAUGUUUGUUAUUCUAAUACCUUCUAGGAUCUUAAUGAAUAAGAUGAAUGAAUUAGUAAGUAAUAUGUACUUCUUAUAUUAAUAUAAUUAUUUGAUAUUAAUACGAAAUCGUGUUAAUCACAAAUUACACACAUUUUUUACAUUAAUAAUUCAAUGUUUAUGUUUUCUUUAUGAAAAAAUUAUACCUUUAUAGUAUUACGAAACAUUGAAAAUUAAAUACAGAAAAGUUGAAGGACAGUAGUGUAUUAGUGUUUGGUGAUAGAAGAAGAACAAAGGGUCUGAGAAAAUUGUUGGACUAUUUUGAUUCAAUAUUUUUUUCAUUUUAUCACCUACUUGUUUAUAUAUGCACCUCCUAGAAGUAACGAGAGUUUUCAAACCGUCGGCAAUAACGGGAGUUUUCAAAUCGCUGGGAAUAACGGGAGUUCAAAUCGUCGAAAAUAACAGUGGUUUCAAGACCGUCGGAAAGUGAUUAUUUUUCAGGAAUUCAGAGAAACCACCAGUAAUCAAUUAGUGAUGCUAGAUCUUCCAGAAAAAAGCAAACCGCGAGUAACACACUUAAUGGGGUUUAAAACCGUCGGAAACUCCAAAAUACAGUCCCCGUUAAAAAUAAUUUUUUUAGUGUGUUAAUCUAGUUAAAAUGUGAAGUUUUAUACUACUAAAAGUUUAGUAUGAAUUUUAUAAAAAAAAAAUAAAGAAAUUUAUCUUACUUUUUUCUCCUAAUCUAAACUCCUACUCUCUCUCCUCUUUUUUUCUUUUCUUUUUCUUCUUCUUCUUUUGGUCUCUUACUUUUCUUUAUUCCAUCCAAAUAAAAACUAAAAGAAUUAUUUUUUUGUCAUAAGUAUGUUGGACCUUUAACUUAUGAGUAUAGUAAGGCCAUUUAUUACCUAAAAGCAAAGCAGCAUACGUUUAUUCUUAUUUUUAGAAAAAGAGUAAUGUUUUACUACUAUGGAUGGAGAAACGUUUAACAAGAAUAAAAGAGUCACAUAAUACCCUUGGUUUGUCUUGAGAAAGUAUUUUUAUUUAUACAAGAGGAUACAUUAUGCAUUUGAUAAUUUCUUUUACUGUCAUCUUCUAAGUGGAUAAAUUUAUCUUUUAAUAAAUAAAAAUAAUAAUUUAUUUAUUCAUUGAAUAAAACAAAUAACUGAAUAAUUUUUCUUUAUUUCAAAAUAACUAAAUAACUUUUUUUUAAAAUAACAACUAUUUAAUCUUUUUAAUACUAUUUUUACAAAAUCAUAUAUAUAUAUAUAUAUAUAUAUAUAUUAUUCAUCCAUACCAUCAUAUACAUCCAUUAUAUAAAGUAGAUAUGUCAUUUGGUAACUUUUGUUUUUGGUGUGAUUGAGCAAUUUUAUCAUUUAAUAAAUAAAAAAUAAUUUACUUAUUUAAUAAAAUAAUUAAUUAAAUAGUUUCUCUUUAUUUCGAAAUAGCUAAAUAAUUUAUCUUUUUAAAAAUAACGGUUAUAUAAUUUUUAAUACUAUAUAUAUUAAAUUAUAUUUUAUUUUUUAAUUAAUUAUUCAUAAAAACUAAUAAAACUAUAAAAAUAAUAAAGUUAUAAAAGUUAGAAAAAUGUAUAUAUUUUAAUGUAAAUGUAAAUACUCGUACGCCUAUGUGUUUUUGCUAGUUUCUAAUUAUAGAAAUAUUAUUUUAUUUAUUAUUUUCAAAACUUAGUAUAAAAAAUAAUAAAAAGUAGAUUUUACUUUUCUCGGUUUUAUUAUUUACUUUCAUCAUACAUAGUUCUUUUUAAAACAAACAAUAAAGUAAAGUUUUAAUAACUCAGUAAAAAUCGAAAACAUUUUCUUAAGCUAAACAAUCCCUUAAUUUCUCAUUGUGGAUAAUUCACCCAAACUAGAUUAUACUUCAUUUUUCUAAACGCCAACUUUUUUGCUGCUGUUGGAAAGUAAAAAAGAACAAUUCCAAACUGGAACAAAAUCUCUAUCCUUUGGCAAAUGCUUUCAGUAACACAGUGAUGAGGAAAAUUUGAAAAAAAAAAUGAUAACAAACAAUAAAUGAAUAACUUAAACUGAGGAACAGUUUGAGGCUAUCAUCUGUCACUUCACUUAUCUACUAAUUUGCGUGCACGCUGGUUGGCACCUUUGACUCUAGAGUUCAUCUCAUCAACAUCGUCACCAAGAUGAUCAAGAGCUUUGUUUUGCCUGCAGUUAUCACAGUACAUUCACCAUUACUGAAUCAAAUAGUUCUCUCAGAUAACACAACUAUUCACAAAUAUGUAAUUUACAACAUCCAAAUUUUUCAUGACAAUGACUCUUCAGCAUUCAACUCUAGUCAAAUUUUCCCACACAUUCACACACUGAACGAUUUUAAACUAUCUGAUGAACAUUACACUGUUCAAAUUUUAAAUGUGCAUAUAUAAAUAAAGUGUAUGAAGGACUAUAAUACAUUCAUAUAUCUAACUAUUCUUGAAAGAUCACACUGUUUAUAUUUUGUUUCAGUAAAUUAGAGUUAAAACAUGCUUUAAAUUGUGAGUCUAAGUAGGUUUAAUGAUUAACUUAACUUCACAAACCAACUUAUAAGAUGAUAUUUGCACCACACUUAUGUAUUAUAAUUUGAGGUUAUCACUGCAUGAAUAUGUGAAAGUUUGACUACACUGAAUCCGGUUUCCAUAAUAUUUUGUUCAUUUAUUCUUCAUGGUUAAGAUUAUCAGUUGCUCCAUUCCAUAAGCAGAAUAUGAUGAAUACCAACAAUAAACAAUGCAACAGAAAUCUAUAUUGGUAAGAAUAGUUACCUGUCAAGUUCAGAUCCCAUGCCAAUUGCCAUACCCUUCAAAUCACCCAAGAUGUCACUUAGAUCCGAGAGUGCAUCGUCUUGUUUAGCUUUCUCAUACUGUUUUAGUAACACCACGAGAUAAUACAGAGAAAAGGUUACUUGAGAAAAACCAAUACUUAAUAGGCAUAACAUUACAUAGAACAAAGCACUUACAUCCACUUUCUGAUAGGCACUGUCAGAUUCAUUAGGAGGUGUGGUAGGGGCUGAGCGUCCCUUAGGCACAGGAGCUAAACCCAACUUCUCCCUAUCUUCCUUAUUAUGUAUAUCCUUUUUCCCCGUCUUUUCUGUUCAGAUACCACAUUCCAUUACAUUAUUGUAUGUUGCCUGGCCUAUGGAAGAAAAUAACCAAAAUUUGAGUUGUAAAAGUGAAGGAUGAGGAACAUAAACCUGGUGUGAUUACAGGGCCUUGGAUAUUCUUGGUCUUCUUUGGCUUCCAGGGUUUGGAGAACAUGCCCCCAAGAUUGUUUAAGAGUUUUUCACCCUGAAGAUCACAAUUUAAGUUUUUGGAACUAUAAAUACCACAUUAGAGUUAUAUAAACAAAAACGAAAUCAUAGCUUUCAUUUUCUUUUCAUUUUUUAUACUCUUACCCCUUCUUCAAAGGGUCUCAAUUCAUUCGGAUUGUUGUUGAUAUUGUCUCUAGUAUCUAGGUUUAAAAUUGAUGCAACCAUGAUAGAUUGUAAUGAAAACUAUAUCAAAACAAUAACUAUAUCCAUAAGUCAGAACCUUGAUAGCUUAGGUAUACAAUAUUAGCAAACAAAGGAACCUAUAUGUUCUACGUGAAUGAUCAAAAUGCAACAGCAGGGGCAUUAUACUCCAAUCACAAUUGGUUUUUUUAUCUCACCAAUGCACAUAAUAAAAGUUUGUAUUAAAGAUUAUUUAAGUUGUCCAAGUUGAAAAUGGUGAAGGCCAUUAAAAUGUUAUUUAUCAAAAUGCUGCCUUAUUAGAGAUACAAAAAAAUAACCUAAACUUUGUACUUAGAAAUGAAAGCAGAUAUACUCAUACCCUACUCAAAUCCUUCUCAGUAUCAACAACCAUAUUGUGGGUCCUGGUUAUCUGAUCACCCUGCUCGUGCAACAUCUCAAGGGUCUUUGUGGCUUCCCCUCUGAUGUCCUCAGCAAUCCUCAAACAAUUGUCGACACUCUUUGUUGUCUCCUCAGACUUGUACACUGCAUAGUUUUCCAGCUCCUGAACACUUUGGUUCUCUAGCCCCCCAGAGUCACGGAAACCAUUCUUGUACCUGUCUUUGUCUUUUGAUGCAGUGGAGGAAGGCUUCCUCCCCCAAUCAUCAUCAUCUUCAUCGAAAUAGUUUCCUUUGGAUUUUUGAACUGGGAGGACAGGUUCUGAAACUGUUCUUUUUUCUGCAGUAAGGGUUGUCUCCUUAUCCGCUUCAGUUGGUGGUGGCGCUGCUUUUCUAAACCCAAACAUUUUUCACCUGCUAGCACAAUCCAACAGCAUAGAAACAGAAAAAGUAAAUUAAGUAAUCAACAUAGUGUUUAAUUUUGAUACACAAGUCAAAAGACUUUAACACAUUCAAUUAAUUAGAAAUCACCAUUAGUAUGAUAAUGCACAAAUAGAAGGCACUCUAAAAAAUUGUUAUACUAUUUGUACAUUCUAAUUAAAUACAUUAACAUACAGCAUUACUUUUACACUAUUACAUGGAAUGGCUCUUUCAAAACUACUAAGACUGAUUUACUAAGUGCUGUAAGAAAUAUGAACCACAAAUAGAUACUUACUAAAGAUAAACAGAAGCAUAAACAUUCAAAUUCAGAAAAAUAAAAAUAUAAAAACUAGCCAAGACAUUUUGGUGCAUGCCCAGAUAACCCACGAUCACUGCUACAAAAAGAAUGCUUUUAGCAACUAAGGUAAAAAAAAAGAGUCGACAAUGAACUCCUGCAUCUAAGCUUAUGUUUGAUUUUCUAUUUGCAAAAUUUGCAAAGACUACUUGAGAUUUUCAAAAUUCAACUAAACAAUGUUGUUUAGGCAAUGGACAUAGACAAAAUGUGGAAUUGGGGAAGAUGUUGAACAAGAUGUACAUGGAAGAAAAAAGGUGAUAAAGUAAAUGGUAGCUAUUUCUAUUUUUGUUUUUUAAAACACCUAUUUUUGGAAAUAAUUUUCAAAACUCCAUAGAUUUUGGAUGAGAAAUUGAUUGUUGAAUAACGUAAAAUGGUUGUAGAAAACCGUCUCAAAAACCAGAAAGAUACUCACACAUAACAUGUCCUAAAUUUCUAAAAUCACUAGUUUACUUGCUGGCGAAGGUAACACAACCAAUAACACACCACACUAAGAUAAAAUUCCGUGCUUUCAUGAAUCAAAGUGCAAUGCUUCAGAAAUAGUACCACAAAUUAAAACAAAUGCAAUCAAAGAAACCCAUCAUGCAGAACGCAGCAAAGCUUUUACCAAGUAAAUUAUCUGUGAAAGCUGAAAAAUUGUGAGAAGGGUACCUGAAUUUUGAGGCCAACAAGGUCAACAGUGGUACACAAACCCAAAUGUGGCAAUGGGUUUGCGAACUAAAGAGGAACAGGGGAUGGUUGAAACUGAAUGGAAAAGACUGAGAAUUGUGUUCGUUUCGUUGAAAAAUAAGAAACCGAUGAAAGGUGUCGCGGAAAAACAGAGACCCACGCGUUGUUUCAACCGUAAACAACAUUUGACAAUUUUAGUUGUUACAAAGCUAAAAUUAAUUUUGACUCAAAAUAUUAAGAUUAAAAGCCUUUUUUUUCUUUAAUUUUUUUAAUUAGAUCGCCGUAUAAUUAUUUUUAGUCCAGUUAUGUAUUAAAAUUAAACUCUACAAUCAUUUAUAGAUUAAGAUGAAAUCCUUUGUACUAAAAAACACAAACGAUUUUUAUGAUAUACUAUUUUAUUUUAUUCAGUUAAUUUAAUUGAUGUAAUAAUUUUUAUUAUUUUAUAUAUUAAUUCUAAAUUUAAUAUAUUAUAAAUACUUUUUUAUAUACCAUAUUAUUUAAGUUUUUUUUGUUUAAAUUUGAAAACAUAUUUAAGAUAUUUAAAGUUAAUCUAGAAGGAACUUGAAGUCAUAAUAGAAAACAAAUUAGAUGGGAGAGAGAAUAGAGAAUUUGAAAAUUAAAAAUAGAACUUCAGAGUCAGACAACAAGUUUUGAGAAAUAUUUGAAAAUGAAUAAAACAAAAUAAAAAUAAAUAAAAGGGUUUUAUAUAGAUUAAAUGGUAUACUGGAAACUAAAAUCUGAAUAUAAAAAAAAAGGAAUUAUCUUUAUGAAUAAUUAUAGAUUUAUAGAGGGACUUAUAUUUUAAGGUGUCUUUCUUCCUAAUAAUUUGAACAACUAUAUAUAAUUUUUUUUAAAGAAAAAUACUUUGUAAGAUGAAAAUACUUUAAGAUUGAUAGAUAAAUAUAUUUUCAAUAGCUAACUAUCGGUAACAAUGUAAAUGUAAAUUCCAGGGGAUAAAAAUAUUCAAAAGAAAAUAUAUGAAUAAAAGAAACCUACGAGUUCAAUAGUUUUUGUAUCAAAAUAUAUAUAUUUUUUUGCAUGUUUUGAAGUAUUUAAAAAGAAUAUCUGUCAAAAAAACUAUCAGAGGAUUAAUUUAUAAAAUUGAAAAAAAAGGGACUAAACCUCAAGCUUAUUUAUGUUUAAAUAUAUUACUAUUAACCUAUGGGUGAUGUUUAGACAAAAAAAAAAUGAUUGAUAUAAACAAAAGAGUAUUAUGAGUAUACAGUAUAUACUAUUAGUAUAAAGAAAUUUUACACCAUCAUUCAAUUAUAAAUUUAUGAUUUAAUCAAUAAUGUAUUUGAAUUCAGCUCUACUUUUAUACCUAAUUAUUUAUUUGAUAUAUGGUCUUUAAAUAAUUUUAAAAAAUAAACUAAAACUGUAUAAUAAAAUAAUAAACAUUUAUUUGAAUUUUCUCAUACACCUUAAUGAGAAAGCAACUCUAAAUAUUAUAAUUAUUAUUAUUUACGUAGAAUAGAUAUAUUAAAAUUAUUUAUAUAUCCCUUUAAUAUGGAAGAAAACUAAAAAAAUAGAAAUUCAUUUAUUUGCAUUGUAAAAAAAAUUAAUGACAUCUUUAUUUAAGAUAUAAGGUCAAAUAAUCAUGAGAUAUAAAUGGGCUUCAUCCUAGCUUAAGGUAACCGAAUUUUAAAGGACUUUUUUUUCACCCUAUACUUUCUUUUUCUACACUUCUAUAAAUAUUAAAAUCUCUACUUUAUUCUUUGGUUUAAAUUUUUUUUCGGAUUGUUGAAUUCGAAAACAUUAAAAUUAUACAAUCCAAAACUUAAAAAUUCAUACUAUAAAAUUAGAAUAAUAAUUUGAAAAUCAUUUUUUACUUUUUAGAUUGUGUAAAUUUAGAAAUUAAUAUUUUAUUUUAGAUUAUAUAAUCAAAAAUAAUUUUUUAUAUUAGAAAAUCACUUUCAGAUUUAAAAGUCAUUUUUCAUAAAAGAAAAAUUUUCUAAAAUUAUUUUUUGGAAAAUUUUUUUUUAGAUUGUGCAAUUCAAACACAUUACAGAAGCAUGUUACUAGAAUCCAGAAAUACAACACAGAUAAGGAGGUGACACCGACAAAAAGGGGUAACCAUUAACAAGGGGCAGUUUUUUCUUUUCCACAACCCAUAGUGGUAUAGAAAAAAACUAUGUGGUGCAAAAAGAAAUAGCCCAUUUUAUACUGGUUAUGGGUUGGACCUAGAUCAAAUAUGGGCCACAUAAAGAUUUACACAAACAACAAAAACUAUUUAGAAUAAAUUUGACGUGAUUUAUACAAAAGCAUUAUAAUAAGGAGAAAAAUAAAAACAUCAUAAUACAUUUUAGUAUUUUAACCAAAGGGAUAUCUUGUUCCCAGCAGCUUCAUUAAUUCUAUUUAGAACGAAAUAUCAUCUUUUGAUUUUCGGAAGAAUAUAAAUACAUUUUUUUUAUAUAAAAAGAAAUCUACUAUUAUAAUGGUCUCUUCAAUUCCGAAAGUAAUUCACGAAAUUAAUGUAGUUUGAGUAAAAAUAGAAUUUAAACUUUUUUUGAGUUUGAAUGUGGAUUAGAAAAUAAGUUGUAAUUAAAAGACUUAUCAACUAAGUUUUUUCAUCAAAAAAAUAAUUAUAUAGUAGGUUUAAUCAUUGAUUCGAUUUAUAUACCUAUAUAAUGUUCAUGAUUUAGUCUUUAUAUCUAAAAAUUAUUUGUUUUAGUUUUAUUGUCAGAAGGUACUAAUGUGAUGACACUAUUAAUGAGUUUAUAUUUUGUUUUUAACUUUCAUACUUGCACUUUUUUACAUUUUAGUUCUUAUAGUAUCAAGUCUUUACUAUUUAGUUUUUAUACGAACAAAUUCUUGAUAUGUUUUACUCCAUAUCAACACUUUACCCUUUUUUUCCUCCUUUUUUCCUCUUUGGUUUUUUUCUCUCUCUGUACUUUUAAAUAACUUGUUUCUCCUUUUAUUUUGUAAAUGUUGUAUCUUUUAAUCAUCUUACAUAAACUAAUUUUGUCUCUCAAGGUUGAAGAAUUUAGGAGUGCUUCUUGAAAAAUAUAAGAUAAUUUGGGAGUAGCAAAUUUUGUAAGUACUCUUUACAAUAGAAAUAACUUACUCUAUCAUUUUAAUAUUAUGCUUGGAAGCAUAGAAGCUGUCAUUUCAUUUGUUUUGUAGAUCACAUGUUAGUAAAAAUGCCAUGCAUGCUCCUCUACAAGAAAUAAGGAAUGGAAGAUUUAGAGAAAGAAAAAGAAAAGAAAAUAAGAAAGGAUCUUAGCACUACUAAAAUCAUGUAUGCAUAUGACAAAACCAUUAAUUUUUGUUUUGAUAAUUUAAUAACCAUUAUAAAAGGUAUAACAUAUUUACACCACUAUUUCGAUUUCAUAUUAAUGUUAGAAAUCUAUAAGCUAAUUGAGUUACAUCGCAAUUAAUGGCAAUAACUAAAACAAACAAACUAUUCGUAUUACUUUGCAUAAAUGCCUACUUUCUUUUUACACAUAAGAUUAAAAAGACUACAAUAACGGAUAAGAGUUUCAUGCAAUGUAUAUAUAUCUUCAUACAUUUACUCCUUUUAACAUUUUACAUAUAUAUAUAUAUAUAUAAUACAUUUAAAGCAAACAACAAGAUUAAUACUGUAAAAACAUCAACAUCAAAACUCUAGUAUUUAGAAUAAUAAAGAAUUAAUUACUGUAAAAAUAUACAAGUUAAAAAAAAAUCUCUAAAUAUAAAGAGGAAAAAACAAGGGGACACUAUUAAAUAUUUUUUAACAUCUAUUAUUUUAUAUCUUCUACAUUAGUUAUAACACUGAUGUAAAAGAUGGGAUAUGUUCUAUAUUGAUUGAAAAACCAAUGUAGUAUGGAAAAAUAUUAUAACCAUUAUGAAUGUUGACUGAUGUUACAACCCUCAAUUAAAAUAAAAUAGAAAGCGUUGGAAACGACUUAUUACUUCAGUUAUAAAUAAUAAUCGAUGUAAUAUGUUAAUUCGUGCAAAAACAAAUGUGGAAAUUGAUGUAGCGAAAAUUAUUGAUCUAGAAUUUGAUGAGGAAGUUUGCUUCACGUUGACAAAGUGAAUUGUUGUAAUGGAAAAACAUGAUCUAGAGGAAGAUGAUUGUUAUGUUACUGUACACGAUGGAGGAGAUUUGUGACGACAUGGAGGACAAAAUUUGAUAGGUGCAAACUGUUAGAAAAGAUGGCUUUAAACUAGAGGGGAGGUGAAUUGUUUAAAGGAGUUUUCGCAAACUUUUCAAAGCUAGAAUGAAUUUAUUUCAGAAACCAAUUGAUUCAGCAAUUCAGUUAGCCAAAACAGCAAGCAAAAACUGUAGUACUAGAAAAAACAAUCGGUUGUUUAUACCAGCAAACAACAAACAAACUGAAAUUAAAGAGUUAGAGAUAGAGAGAUUGUACACAGUUGUUUAUACUGGUUCACUCCAAACUAGAGCUACAUCCAGUCUUCUCAGAAACCCUGAGGAUAACCACUAAGCAAUCACCACUUGAUCACUUACACCACAACCAAGAGAAUGACCUUGAAAACCUUAAGAAACACACUCUCCUUGGCCAACACUAAGAUUGCUGAUCUUGAGCACCUCAAGAACACACAACCAAUCUCAGCAAAACACACAAACAAAUUGUUCAGCAGUUUACAAAGAUUACACUUGUUACAAAUGAAUAUCUGAAAUCAAUACAAGUAGAAUUCUAUUCCAGCACCUUGAUCAAUCUCUAAACUCUUAAGCAAUCUCAGAACUCUUUGAAAAACUCUUAGUCAAAACUUUGUCUCAAGAUUCUUUUUCCUUAAAAACAGUUUUUCUGAAUUUAUACAAAGAUAUAGUUUGUUAUCAAAUCUUAACAAACUCUUAAUUGCAUUUAAAAUAGAUUGGUCAAAGCAUUUAAUGACUGGAGCAUAUUCAGUUAAAGCAUUUAAAGCUCAGUCAAAGAAAAAAGUUUUUCUGUUAUGGUUACAAAACAAACAAUCGGUUGUUUCCUCGAAUCAAUCGGUUGUUUUGUUACUUAACAGUUUUAACCAUUCAAAAACAGUUUUCAAACUUUCUCAAAACACCUAAGUGUAAACAAUCGGUUGUUUCGACAAAACAAUCGGUUGUUUCAACUUAGUUUGAAAAACAUUUUACUUUGAUAAAGAUUGAGAUGCUAAUUGCUUGAGAUUCAAUCUAAGGGUGGAUUACAACAUUAAACUACCCCAGAACAAAGCUUAAACCAGCACAGCAACAACAAGCAAAGCAGAGGCUUCAACAUCCUUCAAAGGAUUUGGAUUCUUCAAAACAUUGAACACCAAUUGGUUCAACACAAACACUAUAUAUGAGACAUUAAUGAAGGAAAACUUGCAAGGGCGUUAUGAAGGAGUUGUAGAGGCAACAAUGCAAAUUGUUGUGUUGUAGUAAUGAAGGCUUGUUGUGCGAAUAAUGUCACAACGAUGUAAACAAAUAUGAAACAACAGGAUGUAUGAACUUGGAGUGAGAGAGAUGAAAUAUGGGAUAACAAAAAAGAAAAAGAAAAAACAAAACAAAAAUGUAGUAACAAAGGCUAAAAAGUGAACCAAUUUAAAAUUCAUAUCUUAUUAGGGCCAAGAUGCUCUGUUUUAAAGAUGGGGAUUGAAACACUACUUUAUUCUAUGCUAUGAUUAAAAGGGUUAUUAAUUCUAGUGAGAUUCAUAGAUUACAAAUUGAUAAUGGUGCUGUUGCGGAUUCUAAACUCAUUGAGGAUCAUAUUUUGGAUUUUUAUAGAAAUUUUUAUGCUGAGUCUAACUCUAAUGGUUCGAAUACUAGUAGCAAGGAGGAUUUUAUUGGUUCCUAUAUCCCUGAAAUGUUUUCUUCUGAGGAGAAUAUUAUGUUGACUAAAUGCUCGGAUUAUUUGGAAAUCAAAAGGUCAAUUUUUAAUCUUAAUGGUAAUAGUGCUUCUGGUUCAGACGAUUUUGGUGUGUUUUUUAUCAUUCUUGUUGGGAGAUUAUUGGGAUGAAUGUUUGUAAAGUUGUUCAACAAUUUUUUAAACAAAAAUGAAUUCUUCCUGGAAUGAAUAGUAAUGUGGUUUCUCUAAUUCCUAAGACUCCGGAUGCGAAUUAUGUUAAAAAUUUCAGACCAAUUGCUAUUGUUAAUUUCAAAUUUAAGAUCAUCUCCAAAAUAUUGGCGAAUAGGCUUGCUAUUGUGGCUGCUAGAAUUAUUUCUCCAAAUCAAUAUGGGUUUGUGCAGGGUAGACAGAUUCAUGAUUGUAUUGGUAUUGCUUUUAAAGCUAUUUACAUGCUUUCUAAAACGAUUAGAGGAGGUAAUGUGACUUACAAAGUUGAUAUUCAUAAAGCAUUUGACACUCUGAGAUGGAAGUUCUUAUUGUUAGUUUUGACACACUUUGGUUUUCAUUCCUCAUUUGUUAGUUGGAUUAGUACAAUCCUUCGUUCAACUAUGCUUUCUAUCAGGAUAAUGGCAGUGUGGUGGGUUUUUUUUUUCUUGUAGUAGAGGUGUGAGGCAAGGUGAUCCUUUAUCUCCCUUGCUUUUCUGCCUCGCAGAGGAGGUUCUAAGUAGAGGCAUCUCUAAGCUUGUGAAUGAUAAGAAGAUUCAGCAUAUGGAUAGCCCUACAAGUUACAUCACUCCCUCUCACAUUUUAUAUGCUGCUGACAUCUUUGUUUUCUAUAGGGCAGAUAAUAAGUCUCUUAGAAAUUUGAGUAUCUCCCUUAAAACUUAUGGUGAUUUUUCUGGUCAAUAUGUUAAUAAUUAUAAAAGUAGCUUUUUCACCAUGGAUACUUGAUGUGAUUCAAAAACACAUAAAGAUGACCAAUGAUGUUAUACUUGAAGGAUCAUCUCAACAAGCAAAUAAAGAUGCCAUCAAUAGGAGGAAUGGUCAAGGACCAAAACAUCUGAAGUUCUUCCUAUUAGUAUUCUUAACAUAGAGGUCCAAGCCCAAAAAGCCCAAACCCAAGUGGAGGCCCAAGCCCAAACCAUGAGCUCAAAGGAUUACUAGGAGCAAGGCCAAGGCUUUGGGAGAUGAGCAUCAUUGGAUGUCUCUUUUUGUAAUUUCCUUUAAGUAAUUUUUAGUAGAACAUAAAAGGAAGGUGUAUAUAUAGAUAUAAGGGGUGUCAAUGUACAAAGAUAAGUUACACCUUCCAUGUGACAUAAAAAGAAUGUAUAGGUGUAGUUUUAGGAGGUGCCAAAGAAAGAAACCAAGUCACACCUCCCUUGUGACAUGUAAAUAGGCGCCAAAUUCAAAUGCUUCUCAUUUGAAUUUUCCCACUUUAAUUUCAGCCCUCUCACAAUAUAAAUAGAGGUGUUAUGCUCAUGCAAAUUUAGAUUUGAAAAUUGAAGUAUUGUUACUAUACACAUUUGUGUGUGAGUGUAAGAAUUGUUUCUCCUACUAGUCUUAUCUUGUGAGUUUGGGAAGCUCUCAAGUGGUGACAUCUUGCACUUAUCUUGGAUCAAUCACCAUCCAAGUGGCGUGUUCUUCCCUUCCAUGGCUUCAUUCACAUAAGUUCUUCUUGCUUUCAUCUUCCAUUUCCAUUUCCGCACCAUACUUCAAUUUCUAUUCGGUUAUGUUUGUUGAUCAAGAGUGGUCAAAGGCUUUGAAGAAUCCAAAUCCAAAGUGUUUGAUGCAAGGCUGAAGUUGGUGUUGUGUUUAAGGUAGGAUCUGGGUAGUUUAAAAGUGUAAUCCACUCUUUGUUGAAUCUAAAGCUAAUGUAUCCUUAAAACCUUUUUGAAAUUAAGUGUUUUUCAAACUAAGUGAAAAACAAUCUGUUGUUUUGUCGAAACAAUUGAUUGUUUUACUCUUAGGUGUUUUUGAAAAGGUUGAAAACUGUUUUGGUUGGUUGACUUGCUGUCAAACCAAAACAAUCGAUUGUUUCAUGGUUUCAAUCGAUUAUUUCUUUGAAAAUCCUAACAGAAAUAUGUUCUGGUGGUUGAAUUUGCUUUAAAUGAUUUCCAACUGAAUACGCUCCUCUAUUAAAUGUUUUGACCAAUCUUUGAAAAGUAUAAAUGGUUUGUUUAUGUUUUAAAAAAAAAUAAGAGAAACAGAUUUGAGUUUUCAGUUGUGAGAAAGAUAGCUUUCAAGUUUUGAACAUUCACAUCAAGCUUUGGGUUUUCUCAAGAAAGAGUGGAAUAGGAUUGCAUUUGUAUUGAUUUCAGAUUGUUCUGUAAACAAGUGUAAUUCGUUUUGAAUCUUCUGGAUUUUCUGGUGGUGUUGCCAAGGAGUGUUGUGUGCUCUGGAGGUAGUCAAGAUCAACAUUCUUGGUGUGUGUUGUGCCAAAGUGAGUGUGUUUUUUGAAGGGUUCAAGGUCACUACUUUGGUGGUUUGUGUGUGAUAUGAUUCCAAUAGCUAGAUAUAGAUGAUUCUUUGACAUUUUAUGGAAUCAACUUGAGUUGGAGAAUGAAUAAGCACUUUUAAUAGAAAUGGAUCAAUGUUCUAUGUUUCAAGAACUCACCAAAACUUGCACCAAACACCAAACUCACAUGGAAGACCCAUUUCUUGCCAAUUGAACCGAUUAAAUUGAACAAGAAAGUAAAUGAACCGAACAAAAUAAGUAAUUAAGCUAAAAGACCGAAUGGAAAGAAGCUAAGACAUGUUUAAGAAUUCGUAAGAACAUGGAGAUGAAAUGAAAAGAUGGAGAAGAGAGGAACUUAUGAGAAUGAAGAGCUUGGUUGAUGGUCACGCUACUUGAAGUGUGAAGGCUCCAAGAUAAGUGAGCAAUGCCGCCACUUGAGAGAACCAAGGCACUCAAGAUGAGACUAGGAAGAGGAGAAGACAAGUUCUCACACACUCCAUCACCAAUUUGGGAGAGUUUUGCUAUAUCAAUUCUCAAAAUCUCAAUUUUACAAGAGCCCACACCUCUAUUUAUAGUGUGAGGGUGCUAGGUGGGAAAAUUCAAAUGAAACUCAUUUGAAAUUCCCACAAAAAACAAGUCACAUGGGAGGUGUGACAUUUUUCUACUAAGACACCUCCUAAAAACUACACCUACACCCACUCUCCUAAGUCACAUGGACAAUGUGACUUUAUUUUACAUAUUCACACUCCUUUAUUUAAUAUUCACACCUCCUACAACUAUACAAGAGUAAUUCAAAUGAUGCUCUUUUAUUUAAUGCUUGGCCUUGCCCCUCAUGGGAUGGACUUGGGCUUUUUGGGCUUUGGCCUUCUUGGGCUUGGGCUUUGGGCUUGGGCCUCAUCUUUUGAAAAGACUAAUAAGAAGAACUUUAAAUGAUUUGGCCCUUGUCCAUUCUUCCUAUUAACAACAUCCUUUUGAUUCUCAUCAGUGUGUAAUCUGUUUUGAUUGCUUAGUGGAUUGCCUAGUGGCUUUUAGGGACUGGAUGUAGCUCUUGGUUUAAGAGUGAACCAGUAUAAACUGUUUGUGUAUCUCUUUCUUCCCUUAAACUCCUUUAAAUUUAGUUGUUAUUGCUUUACUGGUAUAAACAACCGAUUAUUUCGAAGAAACAACCGAUUGUUAGUGCUUUGUUGUUUUAUGCUUAAAUUCUUGGCUAACUGAAAUUUUGAUCUGGAUUCACACAAAGGAUUUUGUUCAAGCUGAAAAAGUUUUCAAAAACCCCUCUUAAACAAUUCACCCCUCUCUCGUUUAAUGCCAUAUAUUCUAACAAUGUUGUCUUGUUCUUCAAUUCUACUGAUUGUUCUUGUUUCUUGUGUUUCCUUUUCAAUUCUGCACUUAAUUCUUCAUAUCAAUAGGUUCAUUUGCUUUAUAUUGUGUUUAUAUUCGGUUUAAUGUGGUGUUCUUGCUUUCCUAUCAAUUUCUGCAUUCAAUUCUAGUAUUCUAUUCGGUAUUUGUUGUGUAAGGAGAUGACACUCAUGUGCAUGAGUUUGGUUCAUCAUUUGGAAGGCAUUGAACUCCAUUGAUGUUUCCUUAAGCCUCCUUAUUUUGUUCUUAAAGUGUCACAAAUUAAUGAAUCUCAAAAUCUACUUACAUUAAUACUUCUACAAGAUUCGUUACCAAAGUUCAACAUCUUCUUUCUUGUAGUCAUGGGGCUUUACCUUUUAAUUAUUUAGGGGUGCCUAUCUUUGUUGGUUCUCCAAAGUGUCGAUUUCUUCAAUCUUUGGCUGAUAAAGUCAAAUUGAAGCUAGCAUAUUGGAAAUGGAAAUCUCUUAGCAUGAUGGGUUGGAUCCAAUUGGUUAAUACAGUGAUUACUGGUUUUCUAGCUUAUAAUUUUAAGUUUUAACAUAUAUAAAUGACCGAUUUCUAUUCUUAAGCAAGUUGAGUAGUGGAGGAGAAAUUUUAUUUGGAGUGGUGAUGUUAUGAAAAAAGGCAUAGUUAUAGUUAAUUGGGAUAAAAAUAUGUUCUCCUCUUGAGAAUGGAGGAUUGAAGAUUAUUAAUCUUCAUCAUGAAAAUAAUGUGUAUCUUCUUAAGCUUACUUGGAAUUUUGCUUAUAGUAAUAAGCCUUGAUCUCUUCUCUUGAAAGUCAGUAUUCUUUAAUCAAAGUACCCAUUUAGAAUGGGUUAUAGAUUCUCCUCUAUUUGACAUGAGAUUAAACAGUUUUAUGACAUUAUUCUUAAACAUACUUUUUGGACUGUUGGUACAAAUACUUUUAUUAAUUUUUGGAAUGAUAAAUGGUGGGUUUGCGUUAAGAGUUUUAAUAAGAUAAUUGUUUUUUAUAAAGAAUUUGAUAUGCUUUAUAAUAAAAUAUGUUAUUUAGAUAAAAAAAUUUUAAAAAAAUUAAAAUUCUAAAAUUUUAUAAGAGUAAUGAGACUAUUUAAAAUUAGAGAAUUUAAAAAAGUAUAUACUUUAUCUUUAUAUUGUUUCAUUUAUUAACUCAAUUUUUUAUUAGCGCUUUGAGAGCCAAUAUUAAUUAAGAUUGUUUUUAACAUAGGAAAUUUUUCAACCAACAUGUAGACAACAAAUUUCAACCAAUAUCGUGAAAAUAAUUAUUACUAAAAAAAUAGAAACUAAUUUUAGAGAUAUAAUUAAUUAAUUAUUAUAUUGACUAAAUUAGAUAUUAUUUUAUAGAUUAAAAAAAUUAUUGGUAUCUAAAGUAGUUUCUAAAUUUAUUAACUAGUUUUUAAAUUGAUAUCUAAUUAAUUUAUAAUAUCUAAUUUAGUCAAUACAAUAACUAAUUAUUUUUUUAUCUAAAAUUAGUUUCUAUUUACUAUUUUAACUAUGAUUAAUCUAAUUGGUUUAUUUUGACCUUAAACGUUAUUUCAACUAACUUUGUGUUUUUAGUUAGAAUAAACACUCUGACUUGACAAUCUUAUGAUAAAGAAGAACCUCUAUACAGAAGAACCUGUAUACAGAAGAACCUCUAUACAGAAGAACCUCUAUACAGAAGCCUUGUCUUUUGGUCAAAUAAAAAAAAGGUUCAUGUCUAUUUACAACACAAAGUACAAAUAGUAAUUGAUGUGAUUUGUACAUAAAUAAAACAUUAUGAUACUAGAACUAUAAUUUCUAUUUGCUUUAGUUGAAUAUCUUCUUUUAUUCGAUUCGAUUUUUUGAAUUGUUUAUUUGACAAUAGUCGAUGCUAGUCACAAUAGAAAUUUCAACGAACUUAGUCAAUGAGCUAUAAUGAGUUAUAAAGAUAUAUCUAUAGAUAAAAAAGACACAAAUAAAAACAUUUUAUGUAAUUUUAUGUACAGUAGUGGGGAAUUAUGGGACAAAAAAUCCGCUUGGUUUCAGACUUGGUACAACUCAAAGUCAUCAUU
RNAcentral lists this long non-coding RNA (18166 nucleotides) under Phaseolus vulgaris (common bean). RNAcentral's name for it is "long non-coding RNA (PVUL_LNC004385)". Lineage: Eukaryota; Viridiplantae; Streptophyta; Magnoliopsida; Fabales; Fabaceae. The record is from RNAcentral.